This 253-nucleotide ribosomal RNA is filed under the name uncultured bacterium. Its description in RNAcentral is "partial 16S ribosomal RNA". It matches the Rfam family "Bacterial small subunit ribosomal RNA", at positions 524 to 776 of the family's 1533-position model. The record is from RNAcentral.
UACGUAGGGUGCAGGCGUUAAUCGGAAUUACUGGGCGUAAAGCGUGCGCAGGCGGUUUCUUAAGUCAGAUGUGAAAGCCCCGGGCUCAGCCCGGGAAGUGCGCUCGAAACUGCGCGGCUCGAGUGCCGGAGGGGAGAGUGGAAUUCCUGGUGUAGCGGUGAAAUGCGUAGAUAUCAGGAGGAAUACCGGUGGCGAAAGCGACUCUCUGGACGGCAACUGACGCUGAGGCACGAAAGCGUGGGGAGCAAACAGG